Molecule: ribosomal RNA, 252 nt
Filed under: uncultured bacterium
Lineage: Bacteria
Description: partial 16S ribosomal RNA
Rfam family: Bacterial small subunit ribosomal RNA
Source: RNAcentral
UACAGAGGUGCCAAGCGUUAGGCGGAAUCACUGGGCUUAAAGCGCGUGUAGGCGGCCCGGUAAGUCCGCUGUGAAAGUCCAGGCUCAACCCUGGGAUGCCGGUGGAUACUGUCGGGCUCGAGUCCGGAAGAGGCGAGUGGAAUUCCUGGUGUAGCGGUGAAAUGCGCAGAUAUCAGGAGGAACACCAAUGGCGAAGGCAGCUCGCUGGGACGUGACUGACGCUGAGACGCGAAAGCGUGGGGAGCAAACAGG